Molecule: ribosomal RNA, 253 nt
Filed under: uncultured bacterium
Lineage: Bacteria
Description: partial 16S ribosomal RNA
Rfam family: Bacterial small subunit ribosomal RNA
Source: RNAcentral
UACGAAGGGGGCUAGCGUUGCUCGGAAUCACUGGGCGUAAAGGGCGCGUAGGCGGCCUCUUAAGUCAGGGGUGAAAGCCUGAGGCUCAACCUCAGAACUGCCUUUGAUACUGAGAGUCUCGAGACCGGUAGAGGUAAGUGGAACUGCGAGUGUAGAGGUGAAAUUCGUAGAUAUUCGCAAGAACACCAGUGGCGAAGGCGGCUCGCUGGGCCGGACCUGACGCUGAGACGCGAAGGCGUGGGGAGCGAACGGG